RNAcentral lists this ribosomal RNA (506 nucleotides) under uncultured bacterium. RNAcentral describes it as "partial 16S ribosomal RNA". It matches the Rfam family "Bacterial small subunit ribosomal RNA", at positions 28 to 523 of the family's 1533-position model. The record is from RNAcentral.
GAUGAACGCUAGCUACAGGCUUAACACAUGCAAGUCGCGGGGCAGCAUGUCGGUUGCUUGCAACCGAUGAUGGCGACCGGCGCACGGGUGAGUAACGCGUAUCCAACCUGCCCUUCACCACGGAAUAAUCCAGUGAAAAUUGGUCUAAUACCGUAUGAGGUCAUACGAUGGCAUCAGAAUAUGACGAAAGGUUUGGCGGUGAAGGAUGGGGAUGCGUCUGAUUAGCUUGUGGGUGAGGUAACGGCUCACCAAGGCGAGGAUCAGUAGGGGUUCUGAGAGGAAGGUCCCCAAAAUUGGAAAUGAGACGCGGUCCAAACUCCUACGGGAGGCAGCAGUGAGGAAUAUUGGUCAAUGGGCGAGAGCCUGAACCAGCCAAGUAGCGUGCAGGAAGACGGCCCUAUGGGUUGUAAACUGCUUUUAUAUGGGGAUAAAGUGAGCUACGUGUAGUUUAUUGCAGGUACCAUAUGAAUAAGGACCGGCUAAUUCCGUGCCAGCCGCCGCCGUAA